RNAcentral lists this long non-coding RNA (474 nucleotides) under Carassius auratus (goldfish). RNAcentral's name for it is "lncRNA (ENSCARG00000010792.1)". The record is from RNAcentral. Lineage: Eukaryota; Metazoa; Chordata; Actinopteri; Cypriniformes; Cyprinidae.
AUGAAACUAGCAUGUGAUGGUGUACUAGUAGUUGGAGUUUUAGUUGAAGUAUGUGAUGUUGAACUAGUAGUUGGAGUGUUAAUAGUAUGCAAUGUUGAACUAGUAGUUGGAGUGUUAGUUGUAGUAUCUGAUGUUGAACUAGUAGUUGGAGUGUUAGUUGUAGUAUCUGAUGUUGAACUAGUAGUUGGAGUGUUAGUUGUAGUAUCUGAUGUUGAACUAGUAGUUGGAGUGUUAGUUGUAGUAUAUGAUGUUGAACUAGUAGUUGGCUGGGGAGUUGUCGAUCUUUCACCAUCGCAGGUCACACACAUCCAUUCACUGCCAUUUAAAUACAUUAUGUAUCUGCUUUUUUCGUUCCCUUAAACACAAAUAAACAGUGGAUGCAUUUUAUUGCAGUUUAAACAAUAUCUGAUAUCUGUUCAUCAGUUCUCAUAUUUAAUGGUCAUAUAGUCUAGUCAUAUUAUUGCUAUGAUUUUG